UACGAGGGGGGCGAGCGUUGUUCGGAAUUAUUGGGCGUAAAGGGUGCGUAGGCGGUUCCGCAAGUCCUGUGUGAAAGCCCCGGGCUCAACCUGGGAAUGGCAAUGGAUACUGGCAAGCUAGAGUGCGGUAGAGGGUAGUGGAAUUCCCGGUGUAGCGGUGAAAUGCGUAGAGAUCGGGAGGAACACCAGUGGCGAAGGCGGCUACCUGGACCAGCACUGACACUGAGGCACGAAAGCGUGGGGAGCAAACAGG
RNAcentral lists this ribosomal RNA (253 nucleotides) under uncultured bacterium. RNAcentral's name for it is "partial 16S ribosomal RNA". It matches the Rfam family "Bacterial small subunit ribosomal RNA", at positions 524 to 776 of the family's 1533-position model. The record is from RNAcentral.